This is a non-coding RNA of Pelobates cultripes (western spadefoot toad), 388 nucleotides long. The record is from the annotation of a GenBank genome assembly. Lineage: Eukaryota; Metazoa; Chordata; Amphibia; Anura; Pelobatidae.
GGGGGAACGGGGCAGCAAUGAGACUCAGCGAGAACCCUGACCUCCGCGUCCGAGAGAGCGGCCGUCCCUCCUGUCCAGCAUCUGUGCUAGGCCGCGCCACUUCCUCCAAGGUAAGUAACAGCAGGCUCUGUUUCACCAACUCUGAGUGUGCUGGUCAGUGUUGGCGAUAAGUAAGUCUCCGUUGGGGGAAAAUUAGGAGCGCUUGGUGUCGGCUCAUUGUAAGCUGUGAGAGGAGCCCACUAGAUAUGCGACUGGCUGCCAUGGAGUUCGGGCCCCGGCCCCCAAACCUGGAGUUUUAACAAAUGUAUAUAUCUAAGCUCCAAAACAUCAUUCAGCCUGGCUUCAAAAUCUGUAUCUAUGCACUGACUCAGGUAAAAACUGAUUAUUG